RNAcentral lists this long non-coding RNA (217 nucleotides) under Sorghum bicolor (sorghum). Its description in RNAcentral is "long non-coding RNA (SBIC_LNC012865)". Lineage: Eukaryota; Viridiplantae; Streptophyta; Magnoliopsida; Poales; Poaceae. The record is from RNAcentral.
AGCAUUACUACGCAGUUUUAAAACAAAACGGAUGACAAGGACAAGAUAACAAAUAUCAAGGUAGGAAAUGCAGCAAGUAGAUUAACCCAAUUCUCAACUACAUAAUGCAGCAUUUUCAAUUCAUAAGUGAUAAAGAUUUAAAACAUUCAAGGAGGGGUUAAUGCAUCCGGGGCUUGUCUUGGUUGCAGGGUAGAGAGGGACCCUCGGAGACUUCCCA